Molecule: small RNA, 480 nt
Filed under: Pongo abelii (Sumatran orangutan)
Lineage: Eukaryota; Metazoa; Chordata; Mammalia; Primates; Hominidae
Description: processed transcript
Source: RNAcentral
UCUCAACCCUAAGCAGAUGGACCAAACCCUGAAAGGAACAAGUGCAGAACAGGAUAAUCGGUUCAGCAACAAACAGAAGAAACUACUGAAGCAGCUGAAAUUUGCAGAAUGCCUAGAAAAAAAGGUGGACAUGAGCAAAGUAAAUUUGGAGGUUAUAAAGCCUUGGAUAACAAAAAGAGUAACGGAAAUCCUUGGGUUUGAAGAUGAUGUUGUGAUUGAGUUUAUAUUCAACCAGCUGGAAGUGAAGAAUCCAGACUCCAAAAUGAUGCAAAUCAACCUGACUGGAUUUUUGAAUGGAAAAAAUGCUCGAGAAUUUAUGGGAGAACUGUGGCCCCUGCUGCUAAGUGCACAAGAAAACAUCGCGGGAAUCCCUUCUGCUUUCCUAGAACUGAAGAAAGAAGAAAUAAAACAAAGACAGAUUGAACAAGAAAAAUUGGCAUCUAUGAAAAAGCAAGAUGAAGACAAAGAUAAAAGAGAUAA